GCGCACCAGGCGAGAAAAACUCUGCAAUGCGCGAAAGCGCGACAGGGUUACCCCCGAGUGUCGUCCGCUGAGGACGACUUUUCCCCAGUGUAGAUAGCUGGGGGAAUAAGGAGAGGGCAAGUCUGGUGUCAGCCGCCGCGGUAAUACCAGCUCUCCGAGUGGUGGGGACGCUUAUUGGGCCUAAAGCAUCCGUAGCCGGUCUAACAAGUCCCUUGUUAAAUCCAGCGAUUCAAUCGCUUGACUGCAAGGGAUACUGUUAGACUAGGGGGCGGGAGAGGCCGACGGUAUUCCCGGGGUAGGGGUGAAAAGUCCUAUAAUCCCGGGAGGACCACCAGUGGCGAAGGCUGUCGGCUAGAACGCGCCCGACGGUGAGGGAUGAAAGCU
This 384-nucleotide ribosomal RNA is filed under the name uncultured microorganism. Its description in RNAcentral is "bacterial SSU rRNA". It matches the Rfam family "Archaeal small subunit ribosomal RNA", at positions 330 to 712 of the family's 1478-position model. The record is from RNAcentral.